AUUGAACGCUGGCGGCAGGCUUAACACAUGCAAGUCGAGCGGGGGAAGGUAGCUUGCUACUGGACCUAGCGGCGGACGGGUGAGUAAUGCUUAGGAAUCUGCCUAUUAGUGGGGGACAACAUCUCGAAAGGGAUGCUAAUACCGCAUACGUCCUACGGGAGAAAGCAGGGGAUCUUCGGACCUUGCUCUAAUAGAUGAGCCUAAGUCGGAUUAGCUAAUUGGUGGGGUAAAGGCCUACCAAGGCGACGAUCUGUAGCGGGUCGGAGAGGAUGAUCCGCCACACUGGGACUCAGACACGGCCCAGACUCCUACGGGAGGCAGCAGUGGGGAAUAUUGGACAAUGGGGGGAACCCUGAUCCAGCCAUGCCGCGUGUGUGAAGAAGGCCUUAUGGUUGUAAAGCACUUUAAGCGAGGAGGAGGCUACUUUAGUUAAUACCUAGAGAUAGUGGACGUUACUCGCAGAAUAAGCACCGGCUAACUCUGUGCCAGCCGCCGCCGUAA
This 501-nucleotide ribosomal RNA is filed under the name uncultured bacterium. RNAcentral's name for it is "partial 16S ribosomal RNA". It matches the Rfam family "Bacterial small subunit ribosomal RNA", at positions 30 to 523 of the family's 1533-position model. The record is from RNAcentral.